AACGAACGCUGGCGGCGUGCUUAACACAUGCAAGUCGGACGCGAAAGCCCUUCGGGGUGAGUAGAGUGGCGCACGGGUGAGUAAUAAAUAGGAACGUACCUACGGGUGGGAAUAACUUCGGGAAACCGGAGCUAAUACCGCAUGAGAUCGAGAGAUUAAAGGAGGCCUAUCCUUGGAAGCUUUCGCCUGUAGAUCGGCCUACUUCCCAUUAGCUAGUUGGUAGGGUAAUGGCCUACCAAGGCUACGAUGGGUAGCUGGUCUGAGAGGAUGAUCAGCCACACUGGAACUGAGAUACGGUCCAGACUCCUACGGGAGGCAGCAGUGGGGAAUUUUGCACAAUGGGCGCAAGCCUGAUGCAGCAACGUCGCGUGAGUGAAGAAGGCCCUUGGGUUGUAAAGCUCUUUCGGCUGGGAAGAGGGGUUCUCUAAGUAACUAUAGAGGAUCUGACGGUACCAGAAGAAGAAGCACUGGCUAAUUCCGUGCCAGCCGCCGCGGUAA
This 498-nucleotide ribosomal RNA is filed under the name uncultured bacterium. Its description in RNAcentral is "partial 16S ribosomal RNA". It matches the Rfam family "Bacterial small subunit ribosomal RNA", at positions 29 to 523 of the family's 1533-position model. The record is from RNAcentral.